GAUGAACGCUGGCGGCGUGCCUAAUACAUGCAAGUCGAGCGAACAGACGAGGAGUUUGCUCCUCUGACGUUAGCGGCGGACGGGUGAGUAACACGUGGAUACCCUACCUAUAAGACUGGGAUAACUUCGGGAAACCGGAGCUAAUACCGGAUAAUAUAUUGAACCGCAUGGUUCAAUAGUGAAAGACGGGUUUGCUGUCACUUAUAGAUGGAUCCGCGCCGCAUUAGCUAGUUGGUAAGGUAACGGGUUACCAAGGCAACGAUGCGUAGCCGACCUGAGAGGGUGAUCGGCCACACUGGAACUGAGACACGGUCCAGACUCCUACGGGAGGCAGCAGUAGGGAAUCUGCCGCAAUGGGCGAAAGCCUGACGGAGCAACGCCGCGUGAGUGAUGAAGGUCUUCGGAGCGUAAAACUCUGUUAUUAGGGAAGAACAAAUGUGUAAGUAACUAUGCACGUCUUGACGGUACCUAAUCAGAAAGCCACGGCUAACUACGUG
Molecule: ribosomal RNA, 497 nt
Filed under: uncultured bacterium
Lineage: Bacteria
Description: partial 16S ribosomal RNA
Rfam family: Bacterial small subunit ribosomal RNA
Source: RNAcentral